RNAcentral lists this signal recognition particle RNA (287 nucleotides) under Capsicum annuum. RNAcentral describes it as "Plant signal recognition particle RNA". It matches the Rfam family "Plant signal recognition particle RNA". The record is from Rfam by way of RNAcentral. Lineage: Eukaryota; Viridiplantae; Streptophyta; Magnoliopsida; Solanales; Solanaceae.
ACCGAGCUCGGUAACUUGGGCUUGUAACCCAAAUGAGGGUAUCAGAGUGGUGGAACGUUGGGCUGUUCCCAGAAGGUAGGGCUUGAUGGGCUAUUUCUGGCUUGCCCUGUCCAAGGGCAGAGUUGGAUCACGGGGCCUAAUGGAAAGCAUCAAAGUGGGAUGGACUGCGUGAGGCUGGUUCCACAGAGCACCGAACAGUUCCCGUUCUGUGCAGUGGAAGGAUAACGGCUGGUGUUCUUCAAGUCCAACAAAGGCCCGAUGGGCUGUCCAGUUAAACCACCAUUUUU